Molecule: ribosomal RNA, 278 nt
Filed under: Rhizobiaceae bacterium
Lineage: Bacteria; Pseudomonadati; Pseudomonadota; Alphaproteobacteria; Hyphomicrobiales; Rhizobiaceae
Description: partial 16S ribosomal RNA
Rfam family: Bacterial small subunit ribosomal RNA
Source: RNAcentral
AUCGGGGUAUGAUGAGCCCGCGUUGGAUUAGCUAGUUGGUGGGGUAAAGGCCUACCAAGGCGACGAUCCAUAGCUGGUCUGAGAGGAUGAUCAGCCACAUUGGGACUGAGACACGGCCCAAACUCCUACGGGAGGCAGCAGUGGGGAAUAUUGGACAAUGGGCGCAAGCCUGAUCCAGCCAUGCCGCGUGAGUGAUGAAGGCCUUAGGGUUGUAAAGCUCUUUCACCGGAGAAGAUAAUGACGGUAUCCGGAGAAGAAGCCCCGGCUAACUUCGUGCC